GUGGGGAAUAUUGCACAAUGGGGGAAACCCUGAUGCAGCAACGCCACGUGUGGGAAGAAGCAUUUCGGUGUGUAAACCACUGUCAUGAGGGAAUAAGGCCCGCCUUCGGACGGGAUUGAAUGUACCUUGAGAGGAAGCACCGGCAAACUUCGUGCCAGCAGCCGCGGUAAUACGAGGGGUGCAAGCGUUGUUCGGAAUUACUGGGCGUAAAGGGAGCGUAGGCGGAGAUUCAAGCGGAUUGUACAAUCCCGGGGCCCAACCCCGGACCUGCAGUCCGAACUGGACCUCUUGGAUAGUUCAGGGGCAGGCGGAAUUCCUGGUGUAGCGGUGGAAUGCGUAGAGAUCAGGAAGAACACCGAUGGCGAAGGCAGCCUGCUGGGGACUCAUCGACGCUGAGGCUCGAAAGUGCGGGUAGCAAACAGG
RNAcentral lists this ribosomal RNA (423 nucleotides) under uncultured rumen bacterium. RNAcentral's name for it is "bacterial SSU rRNA". It matches the Rfam family "Bacterial small subunit ribosomal RNA", at positions 354 to 776 of the family's 1533-position model. The record is from RNAcentral.